This 468-nucleotide ribosomal RNA is filed under the name uncultured bacterium. RNAcentral's name for it is "partial 16S ribosomal RNA". It matches the Rfam family "Bacterial small subunit ribosomal RNA", at positions 28 to 507 of the family's 1533-position model. The record is from RNAcentral.
GACGAACGCUGGCGGCGUGCUUAACACAUGCAAGUCGAACGGAAAGGCCCUGCUUUUGUGGGGUGCUCGAGUGGCGAACGGGUGAGUAACACGUGAGUAACCUGCCCUUGACUUUGGGAUAACUUCAGGAAACUGGGGCUAAUACCGGAUAGGAGCUCCUGCUGCAUGGUGGGGGUUGGAAAGUUUCGGCGGUUGGGGAUGGACUCGCGGCUUAUCAGCUUGUUGGUGGGGUAGUGGCUUACCAAGGCUUUGACGGGUAGCCGGCUUGGGAGGGUGACCGGCCACAUUGGGACUGAGAUACGGCCCAGACUCCUACGGGAGGCAGCAGUGGGGAAUAUUGCACAAUGGGCGGAAGCCUGAUGCAGCAACGCCGCGUGCGGGAUGACGGCCUUCGGGUUGUAAACCGCUUUCGCCUGUGACGAAGCGUGAGUGACGGUAAUGGGUAAAGAAGCACCGGCUAACUACGUG